AGAAAUUGUACUUACGGAUGUCAAAUGUAUUACUAAACAACAAUAUUCUAGCAAUUUAUGGCCUUUGAAAAUCAAACGAUAUUGUAUUGUUGACUAUUAAAUCGCUCGCAGACCUCUCGCAGUAUGUGUUUACUGUUGUUGACAAUCACUCGACACUCGCAGUACGUUUGACUUCGUAUUUGUACUGUCUAAUGGCGCAAUAAGGAUAAAAAUAUCACCGUUCGAUUCAGCGUAAGAAAUUGUACUUACGGAUGUCAAAUGUAUUACUACACAACAGUAUUCUAGCGGUUUAUGGCGUUUGUCUUUGAAAGCCAAGCGAAAUUGUAUUGUUAACAAAUCGCUCAAAAUUUAUAUUAAUUAAACUAAUUAUAAAAAAUGCAGUACGUUUGAUCCUUGAUAACUUUGGUAUCGUUGGUUUUCCCUUUUUCGUCCGUACACCAGUAGAUUCGUCUCACUUCUCUCUUCAUUUUGAUAGUAUUUUGAGCCCAAAAAUAUUAUAUUUCGCACGUUUUUAAGUGCAGUUUAACCCUAGCCAAAAAUUAUUUUGAACGUUUUUAAGCGCAGUUUAAUCCUAGCCGGCGGAAACGCAGGAAGUUUUAUUUGUAGACCACAUGUAAUAGUACUGUUUCUGAUUGUAUAAGUCCUGAACUGAGGUCAUUAUACUAACAGAAACUUCAAAACUGAGCCACCUACCUGCAAUACAAGCCUACUAAUUUGAGAGCGGCAGCAUGCACUCUCACCUUAAUUAACAAGCAAAAUCGACUGGUUUAAUAAUAAAGUAGGGUGCAUGAUUGCCAUUGGGGCACAAUACAAAUCAGUGGGAUAAUAAACAAUAUUAUAACAUGGUAUUCACCUAAAUAAACUGCAGAGCACUGUUAUAUGUUGAUAUGGUUCAAAACAGAGUGAACAAAACUCGCGAUCAGUUUCCCGCUUAGCUUGGGACAACCUCACAACCUUAAAUUUUAAUUAAAAUAGCUGUGUACUGCAUGCAUGUAUGUAUCAUACAUGGUAAUGUGCGUAUUUGUAUAUAGCCCCAGCGAGUUAACGCUCUAUGGAGCGUCUUGUUUCAAUAUAGUUUGUAAAUCUCAGAAGCGAAGGGUAGAACUUGCCAAUAGGCAAUAAUCCAAUAAUAUACGUUUCAAAAAAG
Paramuricea clavata is the source of this 1147-nucleotide non-coding RNA. Lineage: Eukaryota; Metazoa; Cnidaria; Anthozoa; Malacalcyonacea; Plexauridae. The record is from the annotation of a GenBank genome assembly.